AGAUUGAACGCUGGCGGCAUGCCUUACACAUGCAAGUCGAACGGCAGCACGGGAGCAAUCCUGGUGGCGAGUGGCGAACGGGUGAGUAAUAUAUCGGAACGUGCCCAGUCGUGGGGGAUAACGUAGAGAAAUUUACGCUAAUACCGCAUACGAUCCAAGGAUGAAAGCGGGGGACCGUAAGGCCUCGCGCGACUGGAGCGGCUGAUAUCAGAUUAGCUUGUUGGUGAGGUAAAAGCUCACCAAGGCGACGAUCUGUAGCUGGUUUGAGAGAACGACCAGCCACACUGGGACUGAGACUACGGCCCAGACUCCUACGGGAGGCAGCAGUGGGAAUUUUGGACAAUGGGCGAAAGCCUGAUCCAGCAACGCGCGUGAGGGACGAAGGCCUUCGGUUGUAAACCUCUUUUAGUAGGAAGAAGCGAAAGUGACGGUACCUGCAGAAAAGCACCGGCUAACUACGUGACCAGCAGCCGC
This 474-nucleotide ribosomal RNA is filed under the name uncultured soil bacterium. RNAcentral's name for it is "bacterial SSU rRNA". It matches the Rfam family "Bacterial small subunit ribosomal RNA", at positions 26 to 518 of the family's 1533-position model. The record is from RNAcentral.